GCGACUGUAGCUCAAUUGGUAGAGCGCCUGGUUGAAGCCCAGGAGGUCGCUGGUUCGAUUCCAGCCAGGCGCA
This 73-nucleotide transfer RNA is filed under the name Staphylococcus warneri. Its description in RNAcentral is "tRNA-Phe". It matches the Rfam family "tRNA". From Rfam's summary of the family: Transfer RNA (tRNA) molecules are approximately 80 nucleotides in length. Their secondary structure includes four short double-helical elements and three loops (D, anti-codon, and T loops). The record is from RNAcentral. Lineage: Bacteria; Bacillati; Bacillota; Bacilli; Caryophanales; Staphylococcaceae. RNAcentral also lists the same sequence under 1 other name.